AUGUCGCGGGUGGACAAGGAGAAGUCGGUGAACGUCCAGGUCCUCCUCCGCUGCAGGCCGUUCAGCGACGACGAGCUCCGGAGCAACGCGCCGCAGGUGGUCACCUGCAACGACUACCAGCGGGAGGUCGCCGUCACGCAGACCAUCGCCGGGAAGCAGAUCGACAGGGUCUUCACGUUCGACAAGGUUUUCGGCCCAACAGCUAGGCAGAGAGACUUGUAUGAUCAAGCCAUCAUUCCUAUCGUGAACGAGGUGCUGGAAGGGUUUAAUUGCACCAUCUUUGCUUAUGGCCAGACGGGCACGGGGAAGACUUAUACCAUGGAAGGAGAAUGCCGGAGAGCUAAGAGUGGACCGGAGGGACAGUUACCUUCAGAUGCUGGGGUCAUACCUAGGGCCGUCAAGCAGAUAUUUGAUACAUUGGAGAGGCAGAAUACUGAGUACAGUGUGAAGGUCACAUUUUUGGAACUGUACAAUGAGGAAAUAACAGAUCUUCUUGCACCAGAGGAGAUAUCUAAGGUUGCUCUGGAAGAACGGCAGAAAAAGCCAUUGCCACUCAUGGAGGACGGGAAAGGUGGGGUGCUUGUGAGAGGUUUGGAGGAAGAAAUAGUCACUAAUUGUAGCGAAAUAUUCUCUCUUUUGGAAAGAGGAUCUGCGAAGCGCCGCACAGCAGAGACUCUUUUGAACAAGCAAUCAAGUCGUUCGCACUCGCUUUUCUCAAUUACAAUUCACAUAAAAGAGGCAACCCCUGAAGGAGAAGAACUGAUAAAAUGUGGGAAGUUAAAUCUGGUUGAUCUGGCUGGGUCUGAGAACAUCUGUCGUUCUGGAGCUAGGGAGGGCCGAGCAAGAGAGGCUGGUGAAAUAAACAAAAGUUUGCUUACUUUAGGCCGUGUUAUCACGGCAUUGGUUGAGCACCUUGGACAUGUUCCUUACAGAGACAGUAAGCUCACAAGGUUGCUUCGUGAUUCACUUGGAGGGAGAACAAAAACUUGCAUUAUUGCUACUGUUUCGCCUUCUGUACACUGUCUUGAGGAGACAUUAAGCACAUUGGAUUAUGCACACCGGGCAAAGAGCAUAAAAAACAGGCCCGAGGUUAACCAAAAAAUGAUGAAAUCAACGUUAAUCAAGGAUCUCUAUGGAGAAAUCGACCGACUGAAAGCAGAGGUCUAUGCUGCACGUGAAAAGGUUGGGGUGUACAUUCCAAAAGAUAGAUACCAGCUGGAGGAGAACGAGAGGAAGGCCAUGGCUGAUCAAAUUGAGCAAAUGACUGCCUCUUUAGAAACAAAUCAGAAGCAAAUCAAUGACCUGCAAGAAAAGUACGAUUCUGAGCUCCAACAUUCUGCUGAUUUGAGCAAAAAGCUCAAAGCCACAGAGAAAUGUCUGGACCAUACAAGCAACCUACUCUCAACAACAAAAGAGGAUUUGAAACAGGCCCAUUAUAAUCUCAAGGAGAAAGAAUUCAUUAUAUCUGAGCAGAAAAAAGCAGAAAAUGCUCUAGCACAUCAAGCCUGUGUUCUGAGAUCAGAACUUGAAAAAUCUAGCCGUGAUAAUGCUUCACUGCAUUCAAAAAUAGCCAGAGGAGAUAAACUAAGUGCUGCAAAUAGGUCGGUGGUGAACUCAUUCCAAGCUGACCUUGCUUCAAAGUUGGAUAUUCUCUCCAGUACCCUCACUGCAUCUAUAGAUCAACAAAACAAACACCUAAAGGCUGUGGAAGACCUAUGCCAAUCUUGCGUUGAUUCCCAUGACACGGCUACAUUGGAGAUAAAGAAGAAGAUCUUAGCUUCGAAGUCGUUAUAUAUGUCGCACAUGGAAGCUUUUCAAAAUAUUGUGCUCCUACAUAAAGCAAACACAAAUUCUACAUUGGAGGAUGUAUCAUCUCUGUCUGCAGCAAGCUGUUGCAGUCUUGACCAGCUUCUAGCAUGUGUUGAGGGAGAGGCACUGAAGAUAUUUACUGAUAUUCAGAGUUUGUUAGCCGACCAUCGAAGCGAACUGGCACACUUCACUAAGGAAUUGCGUGAUAGUUUCUGCAUUAGCUUGGAUAGGACGAAGGAUAUGUCCAGCUUCAUUCUUGGGCUCUUUGAAAAGUACAUGGAGGAAACAUCCAAGUUGCAGGACCACUCGAACCACACUCAUGAAGCACAGGUCAAAAGCCUUGAAGAGUUUCAAAAGGCUUAUGAGGAACAAUCAAAGUCCGAGGAACAGAGGCUUCUGGCGGAUAUCACCAGUUUGGUGUCCAAACACAUUGUUCGACAAAGAGAGCUGGUGGAUGUUAGAUUAAACUCUCUUGGCGAUGCUGCUCGUGGUAACAAGACAUUUCUGGAUGAGCAUACGUCUGCUAUGGAGGGUGUCACAAAGGAUGCCAAGAGAAAGUGGGAAAUGUUUGCAGAGCAAGCAGAGAAUGACUGCAAAGUUGGCUCCAGCUUCUCUUCAGCUAAGCAUUGCCGCAUGGAAACAAUUAUGCAGGAGUGUGCAUGCACUGUCGACUCUGCUGCACAACAAUGGAAAAAAUCCCAUGCUGCAGUUAAUGAUUUGUGCACAAAACAAGUGGCUGAAGUUGAAGUACUUGUCAGGGUUGCAAUCGAAAACAACGAGCAGCAUGAAGCAGAGAUUGCAUCAUCUCGCGCCUUGGCUGAAGAGCAAGCAUCCAACGGUAGCAAAGAAAUACUCCAGGAUAUCGACAAUCUACUGGAAGAGGCACGUAAUUCUGCAUCAAGAGUUGUGUCGACAGUGGAAGCACAUUCGGUAGAGAUACAGCAUUUGCAGGAGAACCACUCUGGGCAGACUUCAGGCGUCAACACACAUGCCGAGAGGGCUUUCCAAAGCAGCUACAGGGACUAUGAGCCGACUGGCGAAACUCCGAUGAGGUCUGAGCCGGAAGUCCCGAGCAAAGGCACUAUCGAGUCGUUGCGAGCGAUGCCAAUUGAGUCCCUGAUGGAUGAGUUCCGCGAGAACCAUCCCUAUGAAUCGAGCAAGGAGCCCAAGCCGUCGCUCAUCCCUCGCUCGCCACUCGCGACACUCAACUGA
Molecule: ribosomal RNA, 3021 nt
Filed under: Triticum aestivum (bread wheat)
Lineage: Eukaryota; Viridiplantae; Streptophyta; Magnoliopsida; Poales; Poaceae
Description: partial small subunit ribosomal RNA
Source: RNAcentral